This 310-nucleotide ribosomal RNA is filed under the name uncultured bacterium. RNAcentral describes it as "bacterial SSU rRNA". It matches the Rfam family "Bacterial small subunit ribosomal RNA", at positions 28 to 334 of the family's 1533-position model. The record is from RNAcentral.
GACGAACGCUGGCGGCGCGCCUAACACAUGCAAGUCGAACGAGAGGGAGGGAGCUUGCUUCCUUGAUCGAGUGGCGAACGGGUGAGUAACGCGUGAGGAACCUGCCUCAAAGAGGGGGACAACAGUUGGAAACGACUGCUAAUACCGCAUAAUGCAUCGGAUUCGCAUGUUUCUGAUGCCAAAGAUUUUAUCGCUGAAAGAUGAGCUCGCGUCUGAUUAGCUAGUUGGCGGGGUAACGGCCCACCAAGGCGACGAUCAGUAGCCGGACUGAGAGGUUGAACGGCCACAUUGGGACUGAGACACGGCCCAG